AUGGACUGUUUGGAGAUUGUCAAUCUCUGCAACUCGCGCCAAGUUCUUCGAGCUGUCGCGGCGCCUAUCAUUGAUGAGAUUUGGGAGCAUGCGUUGUCGUUCAAUUCUUUUGUUAUCCAACAUGUACAUAGAUCAGCAAACUUUGCCGCCCACCUUUGUGCGAAGCAGGCUAGCACAUUGGAGGUGACAGAGUGUUGGAUAGAUUCUACCCCUAGUUUUCUUGUAACUUGCCUCCUAGCAGAUGCUGCUGGGAUGGUUGAUGUUAAAUAA
Molecule: ribosomal RNA, 270 nt
Filed under: Triticum aestivum (bread wheat)
Lineage: Eukaryota; Viridiplantae; Streptophyta; Magnoliopsida; Poales; Poaceae
Description: partial small subunit ribosomal RNA
Source: RNAcentral